AGGAUGAACGCUGGCGGCGUGCCUAACACAUGCAAGUCGAACGCGCUCCAUUCGGUAGCAAUACUGAUGAAGAGCGAGUGGCGAACGGGUGAGUAACACAUGAGCAACCUGCCCCGAAGACUGGGACAACACCGGGAAACCGGUGCUAAUACCGGAUAUCCCUAUCGGACCGCAUGAUCUGAUAAGGAAAGUUUUUCGCUUCGGGAGGGCUCGUGGCCUAUCAGCUAGUUGGUGAGGUAACGGCCCACCAAGGCAUCGACGGGUAGCUGGUCUGAGAGGACGAUCAGCCACACUGGGACUGAGACACGGCCCAGACUCCUACGGGAGGCAGCAGUGGGGAAUCUUGCGCAAUGGGCGAAAGCCUGACGCAGCAACGCCGCGUGGAGGAUGAAGGCUUUCGGGUUGUAAACUCCUGUCAUUUGGGAACAAGUCUUACGUAACUGCGUGGAGAUUUGAUAGUACCGAAAGAGGAAGAGACGGCUAACUCGUAGUGACCG
This 497-nucleotide ribosomal RNA is filed under the name uncultured bacterium. RNAcentral's name for it is "SSU rRNA". It matches the Rfam family "Bacterial small subunit ribosomal RNA", at positions 26 to 513 of the family's 1533-position model. The record is from RNAcentral.